AUUGAACGCUGGCGGCAGGCCUAACACAUGCAAGUCGAGCGGUUGAAGGGUGCUUGCUCCUGGAUUCAGAGGCGGACGGGUGAGUAAUGCCUAGGAAUCUGCCUGGUAGUGGGGGAUAACGUCCGGAAACGGGCGCUAAUACCGCAUACGUUCUGAGGGCGAAAGUGGGGGUUCUUCGGACCUCACGCUAUCAGAUGAGCCUAGGUCGGAUUAGCUAGUUGGUGGGGUAAAGGCCUACCAAGGCGACGAUCCGUAACUGGUCUGAGAGGAUGAUCAGUCACACUGGAACUGAGACACGGUCCAGACUCCUACGGGAGGCAGCAGUGGGGAAUAUUGGACAAUGGGCGAAAGCCUGAUCCAGCCAUGCCGCGUGUGUGAAGAAGGUCUUCGGAUUGUAAAGCACUUUAAGUUGGGAGGAAGGGCAGUAAGUGAAUACCUUGCUGUUUUGACGUUACCAACAGAGUAAGCACCGGCUAACUUCGUG
RNAcentral lists this ribosomal RNA (484 nucleotides) under uncultured bacterium. RNAcentral describes it as "partial 16S ribosomal RNA". It matches the Rfam family "Bacterial small subunit ribosomal RNA", at positions 30 to 507 of the family's 1533-position model. The record is from RNAcentral.